This 25-nucleotide transfer RNA is filed under the name Orthotrichum consimile. RNAcentral describes it as "partial tRNA-Phe". The record is from RNAcentral. Lineage: Eukaryota; Viridiplantae; Streptophyta; Bryopsida; Orthotrichales; Orthotrichaceae.
CCGGAAUAGCUCAGUUGGCAGAGCA